GUGGCGAACGGGUGAGUAACACGUGAGCAACCUGCCCCUGACUCUGGGAUAAGCGCUGGAAACGGCGUCUAAUACUGGAUAUGUGACGUGACCGCAUGGUCUGCGUCUGGAAAGAAUUUCGGUUGGGGAUGGGCUCGCGGCCUAUCAGCUUGUUGGUGAGGUAAUGGCUCACCAAGGCGUCGACGGGUAGCCGGCCUGAGAGGGUGACCGGCCACACUGGGACUGAGACACGGCCCAGACUCCUACGGGAGGCAGCAGUGGGGAAUAUUGCACAAUGGGCGCAAGCCUGAUGCAGCAACGCCGCGUGAGGGAUGACGGCCUUCGGGUUGUAAACCUCUUUUAGCAGGGAAGAAGCGAAAGUGACGGUACCUGCAGAAAAAGCGCCGGCUAACUACGUGCCAGCAGCCGCGGUAAUACGUAGGGCGCAAGCGUUAUCCGGAAUUAUUGGGCGUAAAGAGCUCGUAGGCGGUUUGUCGCGUCUGCUGUGAAAUCCGGAGGCUCAACCUCCGGCCUGCAGUGGGUACGGGCAGACUAGAGUGCGGUAGGGGAGAUUGGAAUUCCUGGUGUAGCGGUGGAAUGCGCAGAUAUCAGGAGGAACACCGAUGGCGAAGGCAGAUCUCUGGGCCGUAACUGACGCUGAGGAGCGAAAGGGUGGGGAGCAAACAGGCUUAGAUACCCUGGUAGUCCACCCCGUAAACGUUGGGAACUAGUUGUGGGGUCCAUUCCACGGAUUCCGUGACGCAGCUAACGCA
Molecule: ribosomal RNA, 752 nt
Filed under: Microbacterium sp.
Lineage: Bacteria; Bacillati; Actinomycetota; Actinomycetes; Micrococcales; Microbacteriaceae
Description: bacterial SSU rRNA
Rfam family: Bacterial small subunit ribosomal RNA
Source: RNAcentral